RNA transcript from Alligator sinensis (Chinese alligator), 5628 nucleotides. It is a transcript of the gene named kinesin family member 5B, with no coding region annotated. Lineage: Eukaryota; Metazoa; Chordata; Crocodylia; Alligatoridae. The transcript is spliced from 27 exons. The record is from RefSeq and is a predicted model, not a curated record.
CGGCGGCGGCGCGGGGCUGAGGGAAGAUGGCGGACCCGGCGGAGUGCAACAUCAAAGUGAUGUGUCGCUUCAGGCCCCUCAACGACUCGGAGGUGGUGCGCGGCGACAAGUACAUCGCCAAGUUCCAGAGCGAGGACACCGUCAUCAUCGCCUCCAAGCCUUAUGUAUUUGACCGUGUAUUCCAGUCGAGCACAACGCAAGAACAAGUUUAUAAUGACUGUGCUAAAAAGAUUGUCAAAGAUGUACUUGAAGGAUACAAUGGUACAAUAUUUGCUUAUGGGCAGACAUCAUCUGGGAAAACGCACACUAUGGAGGGAAAACUUCAUGAUCCAGAUGGGAUGGGGAUAAUUCCAAGAAUAGUGCAAGAUAUUUUUAAUUAUAUUUACUCCAUGGAUGAAAACUUGGAGUUCCAUAUUAAGGUGUCAUAUUUUGAAAUAUACUUGGACAAGAUAAGGGACCUUUUGGAUGUUUCGAAGACCAAUCUUUCUGUUCACGAGGAUAAAAACAGAGUUCCUUAUGUAAAGGGUUGCACAGAGCGUUUUGUAUGUAGUCCAGAAGAAGUUAUGGAUACCAUAGAUGAAGGAAAAUCUAACAGACAUGUAGCAGUUACAAACAUGAAUGAACACAGCUCUCGAAGUCAUAGUAUCUUUCUUAUUAAUGUGAAACAAGAAAAUACUCAAACAGAACAGAAGCUGAGUGGAAAACUCUAUCUUGUGGACUUGGCAGGUAGUGAAAAGGUUAGUAAAACUGGAGCAGAAGGUGCUGUGCUGGAUGAAGCUAAGAACAUCAACAAGUCUCUCUCAGCUCUUGGAAAUGUCAUCUCUGCUUUAGCUGAAAGUAGUACUUAUGUCCCAUAUCGUGAUAGUAAAAUGACCAGAAUCCUUCAGGAUUCAUUGGGUGGUAACUGUAGAACCACUAUUGUAAUUUGCUGCUCUCCGUCGUCAUACAAUGAAUCUGAAACUAAAUCUACACUCUUAUUUGGUCAAAGAGCCAAGACCAUUAAGAACACAGUCUGUGUCAAUGUGGAACUGACUGCAGAACAAUGGAAAAAGAAGUAUGAAAGAGAAAAAGAGAGAAACAAGACCCUACGUAACACCAUACAGUGGCUUGAAAAUGAGCUCAACAGAUGGCGCAAUGGGGAGACUGUACCAGUUGAUGAGCAGUUUGACAAAGAAAAAGCCAACUUGGAAGCUUUUGCAGUGGAUAAAGAUAUUACUAUCACUAAUGAUAAACCAGCUGCCACAAUUGGAGUGACUGGCAGUUUUACUGAUGCUGAGAGAAGAAAGUGUGAGGAAGAAAUUGCUAAACUGUAUAAACAACUUGAUGAUAAGGAUGAAGAAAUUAAUCAGCAGAGCCAGUUAGUAGAGAAGCUGAAGACACAAAUGUUGGAUCAGGAAGAGCUUCUUGCAUCUACCAGACGGGACCAAGAUAAUAUGCAAGCUGAGUUGAAUCGUCUCCAGGCUGAAAAUGAUGCCUCUAAAGAGGAAGUGAAAGAAGUGCUACAAGCCCUUGAAGAACUUGCUGUCAAUUAUGAUCAGAAAUCUCAGGAAGUAGAAGACAAAGCAAAAGAAUAUGAGCUGCUUAGUGAUGAACUCAAUCAGAAAUCGGUAACUUUAGCCAGUAUAGAUGCAGAGCUACAGAAACUAAAAGAAAUGACCAACCACCAGAAAAAACGAGCAACGGAGAUGAUGGCCUCAUUACUGAAAGAUCUUGCAGAAAUAGGAAUUGCAGUUGGAAAUAAUGAUGUGAAGCAACCUGAAGGAACUGGUAUGAUAGAUGAGGAAUUCACAGUGGCAAGACUAUACAUUAGCAAAAUGAAAUCAGAAGUGAAAACAAUGGUAAAGCGGUGCAAACAACUAGAAAGCACGCAAACUGAAAGCAACAAAAAAAUGGAGGAAAAUGAAAAAGAGCUGGCUGCUUGUCAGCUUCGUAUCUCACAGCAUGAAGCAAAGAUCAAGUCACUAACAGAGUAUCUUCAGAAUGUGGAACAGAAAAAGAGGCAACUGGAAGAAUCUGUAGAUUCCCUUAAUGAAGAACUAGUCCAGCUUCGAGCACAGGAAAAAGUUCAUGAAAUGGAGAAGGAGCACUUAAAUAAAGUCCAAACUGCAAAUGAAGUCAAGCAAGCAGUUGAGCAGCAGAUUCAGAGCCACCGUGAGACCCACCAGAAACAAAUUAGCAGCCUGCGAGAUGAGGUUGAUGCAAAGGAGAAACUUAUUACUGAACUCCAAGACCAAAAUCAGAAGAUGAUGCUUGAGCAGGAACGUCUAAGAGUUGAACACGAGAAGCUGAAAACUACAGAUCAAGAAAAAAGCAGGAAACUUCAUGAACUUACGGUUAUGCAGGACAGACGAGAACAAGCAAGGCAAGAUCUGAAGGGUUUGGAAGAAACUGUGGCUAAAGAACUUCAAACUCUGCACAACCUUCGGAAGCUCUUUGUUCAAGAUCUGGCUACCAGAGUUAAAAAGAGCGCAGAGAUGGACUCAGAUGAAACGGGAGGCAGUGCUGCACAAAAACAGAAAAUUUCCUUCCUCGAGAAUAAUCUUGAGCAGCUCACAAAAGUCCACAAACAGCUGGUACGUGAUAAUGCAGAUCUUCGCUGCGAGCUUCCUAAACUGGAGAAACGACUUAGAGCUACAGCUGAGAGAGUUAAAGCUUUGGAGUCGGCACUGAAGGAAGCCAAAGAAAAUGCAUCUCGUGAUCGUAAGCGAUAUCAGCAAGAGGUAGACCGCAUUAAAGAAGCAGUGAGAUCUAAGAACAUGGCUAGAAGAGGACAUUCUGCCCAGAUUGCAAAGCCUAUCCGUCCUGGCCAGCAUCCAGCAGCUUCUCCAACUCAUCCAAGUGCAAUUCGUGGAGGAGGUGCAAUAACUCAGAACAGUCAGCCAGUCCCACUGCGUGGCGGUGGAGCACGGCAGGAUAAAGUAGUCAAUAACACUUGCAGAUGACAUCCCAUUGACUCUGGUUGCAUAAAACUUGCUACUAAGGCACUGGUCCCUAACUUGCGCUGUUUUUCAUCUAUAACUGAGAUAAUAGCACCUCAGAUAAGUGGAUCUAUGAACAAAUGAGUUGCUGAGAAGUCUGCAGCAUGAAGAGGAUGGGAUAUCAUACAGAGAGAGUCAUUCCAUGACAAUAAUCUCUCCCAUUGUGGAUUGUAGGAUUUUUUUUUUUAACUGUAUAAAUUAUACCUGGCCUGUACAGCUCUCUUCCCUUCUACAAAUUCUGCUAACUGAUUCCCAAAAAUACUAGAGUGCAAUUUCGGCAUCUUGAAAAAUGACAUGUUAAAGUGUAGUUCUGUUCAUUACACUGUUUGUCUUUCAUGUCUUAAAUUUAGUCUGCACUGUGCCAAGCUGAAUGUAUGUUAAGUAAAUCUUAGUUCAAAUUUUCUAGCUUAAUUUGUGUACAUUUUACUGUCUUAGGGCAACGUGGAACAAUGUUGAAAUACACUUUAAUUUUUACCACAUGAAGUAAUAACACUACUUGUCCCACCCUGAGUUAUAACAGCACUCUUAUCUUAAAGUUUUCCUGAAAUGCUGCAUAGAGCAUCAGAACUGAAAUAUUUGUACAGUGUAGGAAUACUGAAGUGUGCUUAUGACAACUGCCAUAAGGCAUUGAAAUCUUGAAACCAUAGAACUAAAGAGUUCAGUUUGAACAAGGCUAUUUAACUGUUUGAUUAAUUGCCUGUUUAUCAGGCUGUUUUGAGUUAAAUACUGUACAGUAACAAAAGUAAACCUAAAUUUACAUAGAAAAAGUCUGUCAGUGGAAAAUUUCAUCUGUCCUGUUCCUGAUUCUGUACACAGCAUAAUUUGGAGUGAAAACAUUCUGCUUCAUUCUGAUGAGCUCAUUACCUAUUUGUCUAAUUCUGAUAGCUAAUUUUCACUAUAUUAACAUAGUGAAAUGAGUCUAGAAUUUAACUUUUUCCACUAUUGUGUGCAUAUUGGAAAUCUUGACCUGAAAUGUAAGCUUUCAAUUUGAGAAAACGAGUUAAUGAGCAGUUGGAUAAUUAAUUAAAUACACUAAUAAUGGAGGCAAGGAAACUAUAGCUCAUAUGGCCAGAAAUCCCAGAGCUGUGUCAGGACCAAGGGUGGAAGGGAGGAACCUGUGCUACACUGAAUUGUAUUGUAAUGCAUUUGUAAGUCUAGGAAUACGUAAAUACCUACUCCCAAGCAGUAGUUGUAUCAAAUAUUUUCUUCUUUUUGCAAUAAAGUCCUGUAAAUUGGCUACAAAAUAAAAGAUGUUUUUGUUCUGAGCUGUUUCUCAAGUUCUGAGCACCCAUAUCUGCUGCUGAAAUCAAGAUCAAAGCUUUUGAAAUUAAAUUACACAAGUGAUAAGAUAUUCUGAGGGGGUUUUCCACUAUAGUUGUAGAAAAGUUGUUCUUGGAACAGAAAUGAGUUACCAAAUCAUUGUGUUGGAAGAAACCUAAUGUGAAAAUUCAAGAAUACAAGAGUUAAUGCCAUGUCUUAAAUCAGUUGUCUCACUACUUUUUGGGAUGUUGUCCAUCUUUGUGGAAACUUAAAUCCUACAUAGACAUUGAUUUGCAAAUAAUUUUUGAGACCUUUUUAUAUGAAGUGAAAUGUUUGUAUUAUGAUGGAGCAUGGUCAAAAUUUUUGGACUUUAAGUUACCUUUUCUAUUUCCUUCUUAUUCACAGCAGCUUGACUAGCUACGUUAAUUUUCAUUUCAAAAGCUGAUUUUGUUUAUAACUGCCAGAAAACCUAAUUCUUUCAGGUUUUCAACAUUAAAAGACCCUUAUUCUUAAAAAAAAUUACAGCAAAAAACUGCAAAAUUGUAAGCUUUCUGGAGCAUGAGAGGCAAUGUGCCAAGGGAAGUGGAUGGUGAACUAGUAGUUAAAUAGAUGGUUUUAAAUGGAAUUUUCUUAAUGGAAACAGCCUUGUCUGGAAUUUCUCACAAUAUUAACUGCAAAUUUUCAGACCUUCACCUGUAUUAAUUUGCAGUGAGUAAAAACUAGUUUCCUUGGAGAUACUCAGAUGAAGCAGGAUAUUUUUUUCAUGCCUGUAUAUGGCAGUUUCAUUCCUGUAAGUAAUGUAUCAUGGGUAUUGGUGCUGAACAUCGCUGUGUAUUAAGCAGUUAAACUAACUAGCAUGUAGCUCAAAAUGUAUAUCACCUUUUUUAUAUCCAAGCUUUUUUUAUUUUAAAUCUUUACAAAGUUUACCAAGAACUGAAUCUUAAAAUUUUCAAGCUGCAAUUUGGUUCUUUCUGGUUCAGCUCCGGUAGGUUAUCUGGACAGGACAAUUACUAUUUUGUAAAUUUAAAAUAUUCUGUCUGUAAUGAAAUGUUAAAUGUAUUGCUAUUUUAAAUUGCAGUCUUUGAGCAGUUCUUAUUUUUAUGUUCCUCUGGAUCAUAUUUUCUAAAAAGGCUUAGAUAGGAAUUCAGUAAAAUAAAAUAUUUAUUCCUGGUGAUCAACUAAAUUAUUUGCAUAAUUUAAAUACUGACUCACUACUGUGUGUAACUCUAAAUUUGACAUGAGACGACAAGUCUACCUGUGGAAUACAGUGCUUUAACUCAAGUACAUUAAGAUGCAUUCAAACCUAGUUGGUUUUGGGAAGGCACCACAUAGUUUUAACUUACCUGCAUGCUGUAAAUGUAUUUGUGUUUAAAUAAAGAGGAAAAAAAUA